CAUAAAAGUAGAGGUUGCGUUAAUCAUAAGUAACCGGCUGGAUGUUGCAGGAACAGGGGAAGGCCGAUAAAAGGGAGCGACGCCGAAGAUUCAUGCAGAUCUGCCUGUUUGGAUCUGGGCAUGUGGUGAAGAACCAUAUGACUGUCAUCUGUGCAGGAUGGGGAGCUACAGAAGAA
This is a regulatory RNA element of Clostridium sp. CAG:299, 176 nucleotides long. It matches the Rfam family "Lysine riboswitch aptamer". From Rfam's summary of the family: Riboswitches are metabolite binding domains within certain messenger RNAs that serve as precision sensors for their corresponding targets. Allosteric rearrangement of mRNA structure is mediated by ligand binding, and this results in modulation of gene expression. The record is from Rfam. NCBI's taxonomy places the organism in Bacteria, Bacillati, Bacillota, Clostridia, Eubacteriales, Clostridiaceae.